This is a long non-coding RNA of Nerophis ophidion (straightnose pipefish), 1114 nucleotides long. RefSeq lists it as uncharacterized. NCBI's taxonomy places the organism in Eukaryota, Metazoa, Chordata, Actinopteri, Syngnathiformes, Syngnathidae. The record is from RefSeq and is a predicted model, not a curated record. The transcript is spliced from 3 exons.
GGCAGAUUGCUCCGCCCACUUCCUCUUGAGAACCAGGAGAUGUUGACAGGGAUGGGACCGUUGCUAUGGUGCGGUUGCUAUGGUAACGUGAUUUAAUUGGGUUCAGGUGGGAGUAUUCGGGGCGAUUGCAUGGAGGACACAAACAGUUUAGGACGGUGCCGUGCGUGGUCAGGUCUCGCUGCUGUGACAAUGUUCCAUUCAAGCCAAGUACUGGACAUUGAAUCAUUUGCACGCAUCAAACUAGUCAACACAGUCGCCCUCAGUAUCAGCUUAAAGGUCAAGGCUGUACAACAAUACCAACAUGUACAGUAACGCCCACAAACACUUGCCUUUUGUCAGCAAAGUUCUUGUAAAAAAGAAAAGAAGAAUGUUGCCGAGCUAAUGUCCCGCCUAUCCUCCCCCGAGCCACUCACGACUUCAUCUGGGACACAAAGGACAAGACAAAAAGUGAAAGACAGCUUUAAGGACUUCAACACAAAAUGUGUGCAUCCUUUCUAACGGCCACUGGGGGGCAGUAGAGCCUCCAGCUGCUUGACCAUCGUGUCAAUUAAGCCACGAAGAAGAACAAACGGUAUGACGUCAUAUGCAACCCAGCCCGUGCAAGCUACAUUUAUCCAGCACAAAAGUCGCUUUCUUAAACUGAAACCCAAUUUUCUACAUUAAAAUAUUAAUGACAUUUUGGAAAAUGGUAAAAAUGAUAAACAGCCUGAAAUUAUUAUCUCUAUUGGAGAAAUAAAGUUGUUUUAAACAAGCCCAGUUUUUAUUUAAUGUAUUUACUUAUAUAUAUUUUUAUUUUAAUCUCAUUUGUAUUGUGUCUUAUUGUUCCAGGUCUGCUUGGUAUGAGCAUUGUAUUUAAUUUGAUGUAUUUUAUAUUCCCAUGUAAUUGUUGAACUUGCUAUAAAAUAUUGAAUGGUGUUGUGUUGAAAGUGCCUUGAUGUGUGUGUGCAUUGUAUAUGUAUGUUCAAUUAUUACAAAAACACAAACAAUUGAAAAUAAAACAAAAGUGAUAGGUCAUUGUUUUUUGUCCUUUUAAAAGAGUGUUUUAAACGCUUAGACCCUACAAUAUCACUUGUUUUUGUGUAUUUGUUUCUAAUUUAUUAUGUGUGUAUUAUAA